This 543-nucleotide ribosomal RNA is filed under the name uncultured bacterium. Its description in RNAcentral is "bacterial SSU rRNA". It matches the Rfam family "Bacterial small subunit ribosomal RNA", at positions 356 to 896 of the family's 1533-position model. The record is from RNAcentral.
GAGGAAUAUUGGUCAAUGGGCGAUAGCCUGAACCAGCCAUGUCGCGUACAGGAUGACGGCCCUAUGGGUUGUAAACUGCUUUUGUACGGGAAGAAACGCUUCGACGUGUCGAAGUUUGCCGGUACCGUACGAAUAAGCAUCGGCUAACUCCGUGCCAGCAGCCGCGGUAAUACGGAGGAUGCGAGCGUUAUCCGGAUUUAUUGGGUUUAAAGGGUGCGUAGGCGGAAUGUCAAGUCAGCGGUGAAAGUCUGCAGCUCAACUGUAGUUGUGCCGUUGAAACUGAUAUUCUUGAGUGUAGCUGAGGUAGGCGGAAUGAGUAGUGUAGCGGUGAAAUGCAUAGAUAUUACUCAGAACACCAAUUGCGAAAGCAGCUUACUAAACUACAACUGACGCUGAUGCACGAGAGCGUGGGUAUCAAACAGGAUUAGAUACCCUGGUAGUCCACGCAGUAAACGAUGAUUACUGGUUGUUUGUGCGUUAUAGGCAUAAGCGACUGCGCGAAAGCAUUAAGUAAUCCACCUGGGGAGUACGUCGGCAACGAUG